RNAcentral lists this transfer RNA (73 nucleotides) under Acanthoparyphium sp. WAK-2018. RNAcentral describes it as "tRNA-Asn". The record is from RNAcentral. Lineage: Eukaryota; Metazoa; Platyhelminthes; Trematoda; Plagiorchiida; Himasthlidae.
GUGCGUGUAGAUUAUAUUUUUUGUAAAUCGUAAGGCUGUUAACUUUAAGAAGAUGUGUUUGUAUCCGCGGACG